Brassica rapa (field mustard) is the source of this 3714-nucleotide long non-coding RNA. RefSeq lists it as uncharacterized. The record is from RefSeq and is a predicted model, not a curated record. NCBI's taxonomy places the organism in Eukaryota, Viridiplantae, Streptophyta, Magnoliopsida, Brassicales, Brassicaceae.
UCAUAUAUUUGAUCCAUGUGAGAGAGUACUAGUAGAGAAGCUUGUAAACAAACCUCUUGAUAUGAUCAAGUAUCAAAAGCCUUGCCCCUGGUGCUGGUGGAAUGUUUACUUCUUGCUCUGAUUGUUUCCUUCACCUGAAAGAAGAACAAAAACCCGUGCGUAGCAAACAGCCCAGGAGAGUGCGUGUGCAGGCCUUACUUUCAAGCCUUUGCUCACAAAAGCGUACGCCAACCCACCACCUGAGGCUGAGACCAUGCUGCAAAGUUUGUCAAAACCCAAUCAGAAACAACGUCUGUAACAGGUUUUCAUCAAAUCAAUAUCACCCAAAGAACAAAUCUUGAAGAUUCUCAGACAAGGAAAUAUAAACAGGGAUCAAAAAGUUGAGUGAAAAAAGAAUGAAACUUUACGCAGCCGUAAGAUCAUCUUUGCUUCUGAUUCCUUUCAUUAUGUGUUCAAUUCCCAGACGACGAAACAACAAAGAAUCGAAUCGGAAAUAAGAAAAUAGCAAACCCAGACGAAAAUCCUAAUUCGAUUAAAAUCCCCAAUUCGAUUUGAAACCCUCAUUCUAGUAAAAUCCCACAAUCGAACCGUAAAAAUUGAUGAAAUCAACAUGCAUCAACUCCAAAUGCAAAGAUAAUGAACUAAAACGCUCUGAUUUAUCUUCAACACCGAAGAUCGCCGAAUCACCUUUUGUUUCGUCGGAGGAAUUUUUUUUAUGUAAUUGUCGCGACUUCUUUUUUUUUUCUCCUUACAAAACACGACCCUGACCCUCACCAAUCGGACUUUGCCAACUCAUCAAGGACCAAAUCCUUAAUCUCCUUAGUUAAGGACUCUUUCUUAACUUAUGAUUUUUUUAUAUUAAUAUUUUAAUCAAUCCCGCAUAAGAAUUAAUGCUAAGGAUCUACUUAAACCCCGCGUUGCGGGUGGUCUUAACUAACGUAUUAAAAUGUACUUGAAUUGAUAGAUUGGCUUAGGAAAGAACAAAGUGAAAUUAAAGAAUCGAUGCGCGUAAAGUAACACGCCUGUGCUGUCCCUUUCAUAUCGAAGACACGCAAGUUUUUCUAAUUUCUAUAUAUUUAUUUGACUGCCUCCAUUCCACCCAGCACAAUCACCAUAUCAUCUUCGUAUAUUUUAAAUAGUCUUUUCGUUGUCAAAUAUUUCAAUGCCAAUAUGUCUUUGUUAAUCAUUCAAUGCUGUAUUUAUAAGCCAUCAUGCAAUCAACCACGGCAGAUCAUCAAGUAAACGGGUAUUAAAAUGUUAUGCACGUCAAUGGAAGUUUGACUGGAAUUAUAUAAUAGUUUUGAUAUAGUGUAACGAGUUAAUACGCACGUAAAUGUGUAGGAUCUUAGACUAGAGAGAGACUUCGAGGAACCAGGGACCGGUUUAGUUUGUUCGAAGCAUGUGAAAUGUAGUUGUUCACGUUCUCAUUGACGCCACUUUUUAAAUAGUUUAUUAUCGAUGUUAUCUUAUUUCUAACAUCUUUUGAAAAACAAAUACUGAAACAUUUAUAUCAAUAGAAAGAGAUCGUAUAAAAUUCACCGCUAGAAUAGCGCUUUAUCAUUGAUUAGGUCGUAUAUAUAGUACAAAUAAUUUGAGCACGACUCUGAACUUAUUUCUGGAAUGGUCCCGGCUAAAUCAUCAAUGGUCACAUUAUUAUUGCCGUCUCUUCACGCUAUUUUUGUAGUAUUAUUAACUUAUUUGUUACUAUUAAACAAGAUACGGACGUCUGCAAUUGUGAAUCAUCAAGUCAGGUCAAGCAAUCAAUUACUCGAUCUUUUUUUUUGGCUUAUUUUAAAAUUUAAACGAACUACAUUGACUAAUUGACUAAUUUACUAAUUUAUUCAUCUUGCUUCUAUCACAUACCAAAGUCCACUUUAGGUUCUGAUAGGGGACGUAAGGUUAUGUAUGCAAAACUUAGCUUCAUCUUUCCUCUAACACAUACUGAGAAGUUCUAUAAUCAUAUAAUUGUUCUUGUUAUUCAUCUAAGACCUCAAGGCCUAUAUUUAUACACAUCAAAUUUCCUAAUACUAUUGAAUAGAGGAAACUACAAUAAUGGAAAUAUUCUAUUCUAAUGUCAUCUAGGUUUGGGAUAUGUUAAUAUCCCAAUACCUUCCCUCAAGUUGGAGCAUACAAAUUUUGUAUCUCCCUCAAGUUGGAGCAUACAAAUUUUGUAUGUCCAACUUGAACUACAAGUCUUCAAAUUCAAAUAGGUUGUUGGUUCUUUGUCAAAAUCAUCAGUUCGCCGGUUUCAGUUCGUCGAAUUCAGUAUUAUCGGGUUCGGUUUCAUCAGUUUCAUCAAUUCGAGGUCAUUGUAACAACAGGAAAAUUCACCAUCCUUGUUGAUCAAAGAAAAUCGCAGGUCGAUAGUUAGAGAAGUUGCAAGUCGAGAGAUCGAUUGUUCGAGGUUUCAGGUCGUAAGGUUGAGAGUUCGAGGUCGCAUGUCGUGAGAUCGAAAGUCGUGGGGUCGAAGUUGUUCGAUGGCCGUGAGUGAAUUCACAUGUUUGUUAGGUCGACGUUCAUUAUUCCAUGCCUUCACGUCAUCAUCCGGAUCGUCGUCUUCAUCUUCUUCAAUUGUUUCCACCAUGACCAAACUCUUCUAAUUACCAGAUACGGAAGCGCUAUUAUGGUCCACAAAAAUCGUUAUGGCUCUGAUACCAUGAGAAGUUCUAUAAUCAUAUAAUUGUUCUUGUUAUUCAUCUAAGACCUCAAGGCCUAUAUUUAUACACAUCAGAUUUCCUAAUACUAUUGAAUAGAGGAAACUACAAUAAUGGAAAUAUUCUAUUCUAAUGUCAUCUAGGUUUGGGAUAUGUUAAUAUCCCAAUACAUACCAAGGUGUACUUUAGGUUCUGAUAGGUAUGUAUUUAAAACCUACUAAUAUUUCUUCUAAUACGUGCCAAAGUUCACUUUAGGUUCUGAUAGAGGCCGUUAGGUUAUGUAUGCAAACCUUACGCUCAUAUUUCUUGUAACACAUACCAAAGUUCACUUUAGGUUUUGAUAGGGCUGUAAAAAUUGUAUGCAAUACGCAAUGCGCAACUACACACCAUUUCCUUUUUUUUAAGGAACAAAUCAUUUAUCAAAGAAGAGAUUACAAUAGUACGAUUUUAUAUAAGUAGUAAACUUGAAUUGGCAACUCGAAGAAGGACAAAUGGUGGAAGGAGAUUGUCGGCAGAAAAAAGAAGCUAUUUUGAUUAGGGAACAAAUCGUAAAAGUGGAGUCCACAAAGAAAAGGACAGGGAAGCCAAACUCGAGCAUCUAAAAACUCUUAAAAACACUACACAACACACAUCCACAUCGCAUUGCCGGGCCCACGCCAUCUUUUCCUAUAUUUUUAUUUUUUAAUUGGGCCGUUUUUGGCCCACUUGAGGGACCGUUUCUCCUUUAUUUCCCCUUCUCCAACACGUGAAGUUGAUUCCAGACUUGGAACUUUCCUCGACUUCAAUUUAAACAUCAAACAAAACUCUUCAUCUUAUACAUUAUUAUAUUUUAUAAUCUAUCAGUUAUAUAUUAUUGCUAUCAACCGUGGAAAUUAAGAUGAUGGGUCAUGCCAUAUCGGCACGCAAGAGCUUAAUCUUCUAGUUGUGUGAGUCACCUUCACCAUCUGAUAGAGUCACAAUGAACAAUUGAUUUUUUUCUUUCUCAAAUGAGCUUUCACAAAAGUCAAUACAAUACAAUAAUACGGUGACACAUUAAACACUCAAAACAAUACAAUAGACA